CCUACGGGCGGCAGCAGUGGGGGAUAUUGCACAAUGGGGGAAACCCUGAUGCAGCGACGCCGCGUGGGUGAAGAAGCGCCUCGGCGCGUAAAGCCCUGUCAGCAGGGAAGAAAAUGACGGUACCUGAAGAAGAAGCCCCGGCUAACUACGUGCCAGCAGCCGCGGUAAUACGUAGGGGGCAAGCGUGAUCCGGAUUUACGGGGUGUAAAGGGGGCGCAGACGGCGAUGCAAGCCAGGGGUGAAAGCCCGGGGCCCAACCCCGGGACUGCUCUUGGAACUGCGUGGCUAGAGUGCAGGAGGGGCAGGCGGAAUUCCUGGUGUAGCGGUGAAAUGCGUAGAUAUCAGGAGGAACACCGGUGGCGAAGGCGGCCUGCUGGACUGCAACUGACGUUGAGGCCCGAAAGCGUGGGGAGCAAACAGGAUUAGAUACCCCUGUAGUC
RNAcentral lists this ribosomal RNA (440 nucleotides) under uncultured bacterium. Its description in RNAcentral is "partial 16S ribosomal RNA". It matches the Rfam family "Bacterial small subunit ribosomal RNA", at positions 338 to 795 of the family's 1533-position model. The record is from RNAcentral.